RNAcentral lists this ribosomal RNA (571 nucleotides) under Uncinaria stenocephala. RNAcentral's name for it is "SSU rRNA". It matches the Rfam family "Eukaryotic small subunit ribosomal RNA", at positions 1043 to 1643 of the family's 1831-position model. Lineage: Eukaryota; Metazoa; Nematoda; Chromadorea; Rhabditida; Ancylostomatidae. The record is from RNAcentral.
CAUCUAGCGAUCCGAUGGGGUAUUGUUGCCUUGUCGAGGAGCUUCCCGGAAACGAAAGUCUUUCGGUUCCUGGGGUAGUAUGGUUGCAAAGCUGAAACUUAAAGAAAUUGACGGAAUGGCACCACCAGGAGUGGAGCCUGCGGCUUAAUUUGACUCAACACGGGAAAACUCACCCGGCCCGGACACCGUAAGGAUUGACAGAUUGAAAGCUCUUUCUCGAUUUGGUGGUUGGUGGUGCAUGGCCGUUCUUAGUUGGUGGAGCGAUUUGUCUGGUUUAUUCCGAUAACGAGCGAGACUCUAGCCUGCUAAAUAGUGGCUGGAUUUUCACGUCCAGUCUACUUCUUAGAGGGAUAAGCGGUGUUUAGCCGCACGAGAUUGAGCGAUAACAGGUCUGUGAUGCCCUUAGAUGUCCGGGGCUGCACGCGCGCUACAAUGGAAGAAUCAGCUGGCCUAUCCAUUGCCGAAAGGCAUUGGUAAACCGUUGAAACUCUUCCGUGACCGGGAUAGGGAAUUGUAAUUAUUUCCCUUGAACGAGGAAUUCCUAGUAAGUGUGAGUCAUCAGCUCACGCUG